RNAcentral lists this ribosomal RNA (496 nucleotides) under uncultured bacterium. Its description in RNAcentral is "partial 16S ribosomal RNA". It matches the Rfam family "Bacterial small subunit ribosomal RNA", at positions 29 to 523 of the family's 1533-position model. The record is from RNAcentral.
AUUGAACGCUGGCGGCAUGCUUUACACAUGCAAGUCGAACGGUAGAGGGGGCAACCCCUUGAGAGUGGCGAACGGGUGAGUAAUGCAUCGGCACGUGCCCAGUCGUGGGGGAUAACGCAGCGAAAGCUGUGCUAAUACCGCAUACGAUCUCUGGAUGAAAGCGGGGGACCGAAAGGCCUCGCGCGAUUGGAGCGGCCGAUGUCAGAUUAGGUAGUUGGUGGGGUAAAGGCUCACCAAGCCAACGAUCUGUAGCUGGUCUGAGAGGAAGACCAGCCACACGGGGACUGAGACACGGCCCAGACUCCUGCGGGAGGCAGCAGUGGGGAAUUUUGGACAAUGGGCGCAAGCCUGAUCCAGCAAUGCCGCGUGCAGGAAGAAGGCCUUCGGGUUGUAAACUGCUUUUGUACGGAACGAAAAGGUCUGGGUUAAUACCCUGGGCACAUGACGGUACCGUAAGAAUAAGCACCGGCUAACUACGUGCCAGCAGCCGCGGUAA